AGUCUUGGUGAAGGCUUCGUAAAGACGAUCAAACUCCUUCGACUUCUCUUCAUACUGACAAUGGACCUCUUUGAGCUUUCUUCCGGCGACGUCAACACUGUUCUCCUUCACCUGAUGCCAAAACAAAUCCAAUCGCUUAAGAUUCCUGACCAUUGCGAAACUGAAAUGUGGAACGCACUGACCUGCUGGAAGCGAGACACCGGGUGUGUGAGCAUCAGGUCCAACGAGGCGUUGUAUUCCACUAACGGGUGGUGCCGAUAGUGCCAAAUGAGCU
Molecule: long non-coding RNA, 274 nt
Organism: Syngnathus acus (greater pipefish)
Lineage: Eukaryota; Metazoa; Chordata; Actinopteri; Syngnathiformes; Syngnathidae
Exons: 2
Source: RefSeq, a predicted model, not a curated record